CCAGCUGAAGAAGAGGGGGGACUCUGACAAUCAGACUGAUGGACCUACGGCCUCCCCUUCACAGCUGUCUCGCUCUCCAAAGUCCCCAUUCCUUCCCCGGGCGGCGCGUGUGCUGCCCCCUCCUGGAGGAAAAGACAACAGUGAGGAGAAGUCGCCUCAGUGGUUGAAAGAGCUGAAAUCCAAGAAGCGUUUGAGUCAAUAUGAAAAUGAAAGCUAAGUAAACAGUAAGGUUGCCUUAACGAUGAAUCUGUAUGAAACAGAAGCCUUAAGAGUAGGAGGAAGUGGAUCUACAGCUGCUGCUGCUAUUUGUUUCUCCCUCAUUUGUGUUUGUUUUCUUUAUGUUUUGUUUCGUUUUUAUCGUUCCGGGUCAGUAAAUGUGCAUGGUGCCUUUUUUUGUGUCAAGUACCUGUCUAAUGAAACAAGAACAACGAGGAGAAGGAAACACCAGGCUGCUCUGCUUGAUCAUUUCAUGCUUUGACUGGUGGGACUUUAACUUUAACUUUACCUUUACCUGGGACCACGAGACACAAACUAAAGGUUGUUACUCGUUAGAGUUGCAUUUCAGCAAGUGUUAAGUUUGUGGGACUGCAAAACCUCAUCAUCAUCACCGCUGGAAGAACAUCCAGCCAAACCUUUACAAGAUGUUUAAAUGUAGUCUCUUUACUCUUUACUGCUUAUAUGAAUAUGUUUGUAUCGGCCACGUGUACAGUCUGGACGUUGUAAAUAGGAAUCAAUCAUGUGAUAACAUUUCAGACACUAAUCCUUUUUUGAAUAAAGAGAACAAAGCAUCA
This is a long non-coding RNA of Cololabis saira (Pacific saury), 791 nucleotides long. RefSeq lists it as uncharacterized. The transcript has 3 exons. Lineage: Eukaryota; Metazoa; Chordata; Actinopteri; Beloniformes; Belonidae. The record is from RefSeq and is a predicted model, not a curated record.